RNAcentral lists this ribosomal RNA (478 nucleotides) under uncultured bacterium. Its description in RNAcentral is "partial 16S ribosomal RNA". It matches the Rfam family "Bacterial small subunit ribosomal RNA", at positions 29 to 523 of the family's 1533-position model. The record is from RNAcentral.
AAUCAACGCUGGCGGCGUGCCUAACACAUGCAAGUCGAACGAGAAAGUGGAGCAAUCCAUGAGUACAGUGGCGAACGGGUGAGUAACACGUGACUAACCUACCUUCCAGUGGGGGAUAACCUCGGGAAACCGGGGCUAAGACCGCAUAACCUCGUGAGGUGAGAUUCCUUGCGAGCAAAGGGGUAAGACGCUGGAUGAGGGGGUCGCGGCCGAUUGGCUAGUUGGCGGGGUAACGGCCCACCAAGGCGAUGAUCGGUAGCCGGCCUGAGAGGGCGCACGGCCACACUGGAACUGAAACACGGUCCAGACUCCUACGGGAGGCAGCAGUGGGGAAUUUUGCACAAUGGGGGAAACCCUGAUGCAGCAACGCCGCGUGGAGGAUGAAGUCCCUUGGGACGUAAACUCCUUUCGACCGGGACGAUAAUGACGGUACCGGUGGAAGAAGCCCCGGCUAACUCCGUGCCAGCCGCCGCGGUAA